GCUGGGUGUGGUAGUGCAUGCCUGUAAUCCCAGUUACUCAGAAGGCCGAGGCAGGAGGAUUGCAAGUUCAAGGACAGCCUCAGCAACUUAGUGAGGCCCUAAGCAGCUUAGUAAGGCCCUGUCUCAA
Molecule: small RNA, 127 nt
Filed under: Marmota monax (woodchuck)
Lineage: Eukaryota; Metazoa; Chordata; Mammalia; Rodentia; Sciuridae
Source: RNAcentral